This 228-nucleotide ribosomal RNA is filed under the name uncultured bacterium. Its description in RNAcentral is "partial 16S ribosomal RNA". It matches the Rfam family "Bacterial small subunit ribosomal RNA", at positions 92 to 339 of the family's 1533-position model. The record is from RNAcentral.
AGAGUGGCGAACGGGUGAGGAACACGUAAGAAUCUGCCCCUCGGUCGGGGACAACUCUUGGAAACGAGAGCUAAUACCCGAUACGCUGUGGAGUGAAAGAAUUUCGCCGAGGGAUGAUCUUGCGUCUGAUUAGCUAGUUGGUGUGGUAAUGGCAUACCAAGGCAACGAUCAGUAGCUGGUCUGAGAGGAUGAACAGCCACAUUGGAACUGAGACACGGUCCAAACUCC